CCCCUCAUAGCUCAAUGGUAGAGCCGUCGGCUGUAGCCCGACUCGUGCCAGUUCGAUUCUGGCUGAGGGGA
Molecule: transfer RNA, 71 nt
Filed under: Candidatus Pacearchaeota archaeon
Lineage: Archaea; Nanobdellati
Description: tRNA-Tyr
Rfam family: tRNA
About the family: Transfer RNA (tRNA) molecules are approximately 80 nucleotides in length. Their secondary structure includes four short double-helical elements and three loops (D, anti-codon, and T loops). Further hydrogen bonds mediate the characteristic L-shaped molecular structure. tRNAs have two regions of fundamental functional importance: the anti-codon, which is responsible for specific mRNA codon recognition, and the 3' end, to which the tRNAs corresponding amino acid is attached (by aminoacyl-tRNA synthetases). tRNAs cope with the degeneracy of the genetic code in two manners: having more than one tRNA (with a specific anti-codon) for a particular amino acid; and 'wobble' base-pairing, i.e. permitting non-standard base-pairing at the 3rd anti-codon position.
Source: RNAcentral